RNAcentral lists this transfer RNA (72 nucleotides) under Turnera subulata. It matches the Rfam family "tRNA". Rfam says of the family: Transfer RNA (tRNA) molecules are approximately 80 nucleotides in length. Their secondary structure includes four short double-helical elements and three loops (D, anti-codon, and T loops). Further hydrogen bonds mediate the characteristic L-shaped molecular structure. tRNAs have two regions of fundamental functional importance: the anti-codon, which is responsible for specific mRNA codon recognition, and the 3' end, to which the tRNAs corresponding amino acid is attached (by aminoacyl-tRNA synthetases). tRNAs cope with the degeneracy of the genetic code in two manners: having more than one tRNA (with a specific anti-codon) for a particular amino acid; and 'wobble' base-pairing, i.e. permitting non-standard base-pairing at the 3rd anti-codon position. Lineage: Eukaryota; Viridiplantae; Streptophyta; Magnoliopsida; Malpighiales; Passifloraceae. The record is from Rfam by way of RNAcentral.
GCCUCUGUAGCACAGUGGUAGUGUAUUCGCCUUUUAAGCGAGCAGUCGUGAGUUCGAAUCUCACCAGAGGCA